UAUCCAACUUAGUUAAACUGCCAAGAUAUUAUUCCUAUGAGUUUUCUUUUGUGUAAAAUAGCUAAUGGCCUGUUGCGAAAGAAAUUUAUAUUUUGAAUUUAGUGGUGUUAAAACUGACUUUAUACUUGCUAUUUUAUUACUUCUGCUUAAUUAAAUUUUUGGAUUUUUAUUAUAACAUUGUCGAAACAAAAUCUUUUUUUGGUUAUUAAUUAUUAAAGUUUUUAGCACAUAUAGAUUUGCUAUUCUUGUUUGUUAAGUCAUAUUGUAUUACUAAAUCCGUAUCCCUGAUUUUAUAUUUUUUCCUUUAUGGAUUAAGUAGUAGAAAAUAAUAUAGUAUUAUUUCAACCUUGAAUAAGCAACACUAUAAACGAAAAGAUAUAUUUUUUAAAAGACAUCAAAAAUCAAUAUUUAAUUUAAAAUAUUCAUCUUGAUAUUACCUUUGAUUGUUGGAUAACCUUAAUCCACAC
This 467-nucleotide small RNA is filed under the name Rickettsia prowazekii. RNAcentral describes it as "partial sR66 non-coding RNA". Lineage: Bacteria; Pseudomonadati; Pseudomonadota; Alphaproteobacteria; Rickettsiales; Rickettsiaceae. The record is from RNAcentral.